AUGCCCCCACAUAUUUUUCCCGUAUAUCUAGUGCUGGUCUUAUAUGCCACAAGCAUGUCUAUUAUGGUUAUGAGAGCUUCGACCAAUGAGACGAUGAUUCCUUUGGGGUCCUCCAUCAAUACGAGCACCACCAAGAGCUGGUUCUCCUCUUCGGGGCGCUUCGCAUUUGGUUUCUAUCCUGACGGUGAAGCCUUUGCAAUUGGGGUUCGGCUUGUAUCCGGUGAUACAAGUAUCAUAGCAUGGACUGCCAACCGAGAUGAUCCCCCAAUUUCUCUUGGUUCUAUUACAUUGGGAUACAGCGGUAUACUCCAGUGGUCCCGAACCCCAUUGACUCCAGGUACCCAACGGAAUCCCAUAUCUGACAGCUCUACACCGGCUACCUCUGCUGCCAUGCUGAACACCGGUAACUUUGUGUUGUAUGACAUGAACCGGACGAUUAUUUGGUCUACCUUUGAUUCUCCAACUGGUACUUUGUUGCCAGGCCAGAAUCUGCGUCCUGGUGCGCAGCUUUUUGCAAGUGUCUCCGGGAAUAACCGUGCUAGGGGGAAGUAUUACCUUAACAAUCAACUAGACGGCAAUCUUGUGCUCUACCCUGCUGGCACGAUUGACUCUGAUAGUGCAUAUUGGUCUACUGUCACUUCCAACAAGGGCCUCCUCCUCACGCUUUCUUUGGAUCCCAAUGGUACCCUAUGGAUGUUUGACCGGAAGACCUCCUAUACAAAGGCAUUAUUCCAGACCAAUCAAUCCCUUAGUGCCUCAACAGCUGUGGAAAAUUACUACCGGUUGACAUUUGAUGCCGAUGGCAUCUUACGACUCUACUCACAUGUUUUCCUUAGUCUAGGGAGUAAGCCUACAACUAAGGUUCAGUGGCAAGUGCCUGGAAGUGAUCGCUGCCUUGUAAAUGGUGUCUGUGGUCCGAAUAGCUUCUGUCAGCUCACCGUGACAGGAGAAACUAGCUGCACUUGCCUUCCCGGUUUUGAGUUCUUAAGCACUAACCAGAGCACACUUGGUUGCUGGAGAACAUUGCCGGACAGCGGUUGUGCGAAGAAUAGCAGCAGCUCCGAUGAGGGGACGAGAGUGAUGAGCACAAUGGUAGAAGUGAAGAAUACUACUUGGGCAGAGAAUGCGUAUGCUGUUCUACCAGAAACCGCAAGCAUUGAAGAUUGCAAGUUACAUUGCCUCUCUGAUUGUGCCUGCGAGAUUUCUAUGUUUAGUGACUCCUAUUGCUCAAAACUGAUGGUUCCAAUUAGGUAUGGCAGGAAUUCUGGUUCCAACAGCACACUAUUUGUGAAGGUCUACACCUACCAUGCCAUCCAAAAGAAUAAAAUUGCUGGAGCAGGUGCCAUGUUUAUCUCAGGUGUUUCCUUGGUCGUCCUCUCACUGGUUGUGCUCUCUGGAUCUGUGCUUCUUAUCUGCAGAUAUAAACCAUCUUUGAGGUACAUGAGGGCACCACAACUGGAGGAUUACAUGGUUGAUGGGGACAGCGUUGGCCUGCAAUCCUAUUCUUUUGGGGACAUAGAUGUGGCCACGAAUGGAUUUUCCCAAGUGCUUGGUAGGGGUGCUUACGGUACAGUGUUCAAGGGUGUCCUGGCCAACAUGAACAAGGAGAUUGCAGUGAAGAGGCUCGAGAAGAUGGCUGAAGAUGAGCAGAGAGAAUUUCAUAGGGAGGUGCGUGCAAUUGCAAGAACACACCACCGGAACCUGCUGCGCUUGCUUGGUUUCUGUAUUGAGGGCACGUGCCGCCUGCUUGUGUACGAGUAUAUGCCGAACGGAUCCCUUGCAAGCCUCCUUUUCAACUCAGAUGCACCGCCUAGCUGGAGCAAGAGGGUUGCGAUUGCACUAGAUGUUGCAAGGGGGCUGCAGUACCUGCAUGAAGAGAUACAGAACCCGAUAAUCCACUGCGACAUCAAGCCGGAAAACAUACUCAUCGACAGUUCAGGGAUAGCCAAGAUUGCUGACUUUGGGCUUGCAAAGCUACUGAUUGGGAACCAGAGCAACACACUCACCGGCGUCCGAGGCAUGAGAGGCUAUCUCGCACAAGAAUAG
RNAcentral lists this ribosomal RNA (2046 nucleotides) under Triticum aestivum (bread wheat). RNAcentral describes it as "partial small subunit ribosomal RNA". Lineage: Eukaryota; Viridiplantae; Streptophyta; Magnoliopsida; Poales; Poaceae. The record is from RNAcentral.